UACGUAGGGCGCAAGCGUUAUCCGGAAUUAUUGGGCGUAAAGAGCUCGUAGGCGGCUUGGCAAGUCGGGUGUGAAACCUCCAGGCUCAACCUGGAGACGCCACUCGAUACUGCUAUGGCUAGAGUCCGGUAGGGGACCACGGAAUUCCUGGUGUAGCGGUGAAAUGCGCAGAUAUCAGGAGGAACACCGGUGGCGAAGGCGGUGGUCUGGGCCGGCACUGACGCUGAGGAGCGAAAGCGUGGGUAGCAAACAGG
This 254-nucleotide ribosomal RNA is filed under the name uncultured bacterium. RNAcentral describes it as "partial 16S ribosomal RNA". It matches the Rfam family "Bacterial small subunit ribosomal RNA", at positions 524 to 776 of the family's 1533-position model. The record is from RNAcentral.